This 346-nucleotide transfer-messenger RNA is filed under the name Gammaproteobacteria (g-proteobacteria). Its description in RNAcentral is "GCA-2701705 sp002701705 Standard tmRNA". It matches the Rfam family "transfer-messenger RNA". From Rfam's summary of the family: Bacterial tmRNA, also known as 10Sa RNA or SsrA, is named for its dual tRNA and mRNA-like properties. Its role is to liberate the mRNA from a stalled ribosome. To accomplish this part of the tmRNA is used as a reading frame that ends in a translation stop signal. Lineage: Bacteria; Pseudomonadati; Pseudomonadota. RNAcentral also lists the same sequence under 1 other name. The record is from RNAcentral.
GGGGGCGACCUGGCUUCGACGCGGGUUGCAAAACCUAAGGUGCAUGUCGAGUUUUCAGUAUCUCGUAAAUCCACUGAAAAAACAUAAACGCAGAAAAUAAAACUUUUGCACUAGCAGCCUAAACGCAGCUAGCCUUUUUCAAAGUAGGCUUAUAUGCUUUGAAUUAAGGUCAUAAUGAUAAGCUCGUGCCUUAUAAUCUUGUUAGUAAGUCAUUAAAUCUAAACAAGAUAGUUAUUAUGUAGGUUGUUUAUCACCAGCAUAAUAAUAAAAUUAAAGAUAGACUAAACAUGUAGUACUAAAGGCUGAGUGCUCUCGGACGCGGGUUCGAUUCCCGCCGCCUCCACCA